RNAcentral lists this ribosomal RNA (253 nucleotides) under uncultured bacterium. RNAcentral's name for it is "partial 16S ribosomal RNA". It matches the Rfam family "Bacterial small subunit ribosomal RNA", at positions 524 to 776 of the family's 1533-position model. The record is from RNAcentral.
UACGAAGGGGGCUAGCGUUGUUCGGAAUUACUGGGCGUAAAGCGCACGUAGGCGGGUCGUUAAGUCAGGGGUGAAAUCCCGGAGCUCAACUCCGGAACUGCCUUUGAUACUGGCGACCUUGAGGCUGGAAGAGGUUAGUGGAAUUCCCAGUGUAGAGGUGAAAUUCGUAGAUAUUGGGAAGAACACCAGUGGCGAAGGCGGCUAACUGGUCCAGAUCUGACGCUGAGGUGCGAAAGCGUGGGGAGCAAACAGG